RNAcentral lists this ribosomal RNA (253 nucleotides) under uncultured bacterium. RNAcentral describes it as "partial 16S ribosomal RNA". It matches the Rfam family "Bacterial small subunit ribosomal RNA", at positions 524 to 776 of the family's 1533-position model. The record is from RNAcentral.
UACGUAGGGGGCAAGCGUUGUCCGGAUUUAUUGGGCGUAAAGAGCGUGUAGGCGGCCAGGUAGGUCCGUUGUGAAAACUCGAGGCUCAACCUCGAGACGCCGAUGGAAACCAUCUGGCUAGAGUUCGGUAGGGGAGACUGGAAUUCCUGGUGUAGCGGUGAAAUGCGCAGAUAUCAGGAGGAACACCGGUGGCGAAGGCGGGUCUCUGGGCCGAUACUGACGCUGAGGAGCGAAAGCGUGGGGAGCGAACAGG